ACGACGGGUAGCCGGCCUGAGAGGGCGACCGGCCACACUGGGACUGAGACACGGCCCAGACUCCUACGGGAGGCAGCAGUGGGGAAUAUUGCACAAUGGGCGCAAGCCUGAUGCAGCGACGCCGCGUGAGGGAUGACGGCCUUCGGGUUGUAAACCUCUUUCAGCAGGGAAGAAGCGCGAGUGACGGUACCUGCAGAAGAAGCACCGGCUAACUACGUGCCAGCAGCCGCGGCGG
This 235-nucleotide ribosomal RNA is filed under the name Streptomyces sp. RSBAUOCAS0004A. RNAcentral describes it as "partial 16S ribosomal RNA". It matches the Rfam family "Bacterial small subunit ribosomal RNA", at positions 276 to 523 of the family's 1533-position model. The record is from RNAcentral. Lineage: Bacteria; Bacillati; Actinomycetota; Actinomycetes; Kitasatosporales; Streptomycetaceae.